This 206-nucleotide ribosomal RNA is filed under the name uncultured bacterium. RNAcentral's name for it is "partial 16S ribosomal RNA". It matches the Rfam family "Bacterial small subunit ribosomal RNA", at positions 1295 to 1500 of the family's 1533-position model. The record is from RNAcentral.
GGAUUGUAGGCUGCAACUCGCCUACAUGAAGUCGGAAUCGCUAGUAAUCGCGGAUCAGCAUGCCGCGGUGAAUACGUUCCCGGGCCUUGUACACACCGCCCGUCACACCAUGAGAGUUUGUAACACCCAAAGCCGGUGGGGUAACCUUUUGGAGCCAGCCGUCUAAGGUGGGACAGAUGAUUAGGGUGAAGUCGUAACAAGGUACC